RNAcentral lists this ribosomal RNA (244 nucleotides) under uncultured bacterium. RNAcentral describes it as "partial 16S ribosomal RNA". It matches the Rfam family "Bacterial small subunit ribosomal RNA", at positions 1254 to 1500 of the family's 1533-position model. The record is from RNAcentral.
GUCGUGAGGCGGAGCAAAUCACAAAACACAGUCUCAGUUCAGAUUGUAGGCUGAAACUCGCCUAUAUGAAGUCGGAAUUGCUAGUAAUGGCAGGUCAGCAUACUGCCGUGAAUACGUUCCCGGGCCUUGUACACACCGCCCGUCACACCAUGAGAGUUGGGAAUACCCGAAGCCUGUGAGCUAACGUAAGAGGCAGCAGUCGAAGGUAGAAUCAAUGAUUGGGGUGAAGUCGUAACAAGGUACC